CGAACUUGGCAGAGAUGCCUUGGUGCCUUCGGGAACGCUGAGACAGGUGCUGCAUGGCUGUCGUCAGCUCGUGUUGUGAAAUGUUGGGUUAAGUCCCGCAACGAGCGCAACCCUUAUCCUUUGUUGCCAGCGAUUCGGUCGGGAACUCAAAGGAGACUGCCGGUGAUAAACCGGAGGAAGGUGGGGAUGACGUCAAGUCAUCAUGGCCCUUACGAGUAGGGCUACACACGUGCUACAAUGGCGCAUACAAAGAGAAGCGACCUCGCGAGAGCAAGCGGACCUCAUAAAGUGCGUCGUAGUCCGGAUCGGAGUCUGCAACUCGACUCCGUGAAGUCGGAAUCGCUAGUAAUCGUGGAUCAGAAUGCCACGGUGAACUACGUUCCUGGGCCUUGUACACACCGCCCGUCACACCAUGGGAGUGGGUUGCAGAAGAAGUAGGUAGCUUAACCUUCGGGAGGGCGCUUACCACUUUGUGAUUCAUGACUGGGGUGAAGUCGUAACAAGGUAAGCGUAGCGAG
Molecule: ribosomal RNA, 518 nt
Filed under: uncultured bacterium
Lineage: Bacteria
Description: bacterial SSU rRNA
Rfam family: Bacterial small subunit ribosomal RNA
Source: RNAcentral